CCUAUCCGAAUAUCGGGUACCAUUGCUAGAUGGUCACUUCGAUUAGUACAGGAAUUGGUUCCUAUGCUACCGGCUUAGGUUCGAACCUGCGGGGUCACACACAUUAGAGGUUCCUAUCUGAUCUGAUGGCUGAUGAAGAGUCCUAAUACUUGUGGACUAUGAGUCCUAUGUGUCUGAGACUUUAUGAUCAAGAAUCAGGAUUCUCUGAUCAUGAGUACCACACAUUUUGGGUAUCG
RNAcentral lists this long non-coding RNA (236 nucleotides) under Elaeis guineensis (African oil palm). RNAcentral's name for it is "long non-coding RNA (EGUI_LNC047122)". Lineage: Eukaryota; Viridiplantae; Streptophyta; Magnoliopsida; Arecales; Arecaceae. The record is from RNAcentral.